This 1692-nucleotide long non-coding RNA is filed under the name Gossypium barbadense (sea-island cotton). Its description in RNAcentral is "long non-coding RNA (GBAR_LNC005606)". Lineage: Eukaryota; Viridiplantae; Streptophyta; Magnoliopsida; Malvales; Malvaceae. The record is from RNAcentral.
AAAAGGGGAGGUCAAGUCAAAUAUAGAUGAUGGAGUCAGGUAAGGAAUUAAGGAAGACGUAUCUACGACCCAAUUGUUGUCUUUUCCUUCAUCCAUCUACUUCUUGCCCUUUCGUUCGUUUUAGAUAUACAUAUAAAUUCCUAGAAUUAAUUUUAUCCAAUCGGGAUGUACCUAAGCAUCACCUCCAAGUCCAAUAAUGAUUCAUUUCCUAACUAGUAUCAGGCAGCAUAGCUACUAGGUUAAGCAGAAUGGCGACUUAUGGGUCUCUCCCAGUACAGAGAUCACCAGAUCUUAUCAAUUCUAGAGGAUGACCUGCAAGCCUGGAGUUCGUGACGUAUAAAGCAUUUCAAGGAAAAAAUCAAGGUUACCUCUCUUGUGGAACUAAAUCCUGAAAGAGCGAUUUUCCAAUGUGGGACUUUCCUUAUAGGCUACCCAAUAAUGUCUUUCUGAUUAACAAAGGGGCUACAGUCCUGAAGACCGGAAAAGAAUUACAAGAUGGCAAUGGGAGAUGAUAAAUUUGACCUUCUUGGUUAUUUCUUGGAUAAACAAAGCUGUGGUUUUACUCAUACUUGAUGGAGGGGAAAUUAAUUUGAACAACGGGAUACGGAGGUUAGUUGUUUUCUCUCUAUUUGUCUUUGUAGUUAUAAAUAAUGGCACUACUAUACAACUAUGCCUUAGAUUAGGAAAAGCUUAACCUAUGCUAUAUUAUUGCUCCUUUAAUUAGGGGCAUUAAUAGCAUGAUGAUGAUCGUUGUAGCAAAAUCCCCACUUUUAAAAGCCAUCAUCAACAUUUGUUGUUGCUUCAGUUGUAUACUUUUAUAUGCAUUGUUGUGUGUAUAAUGGCAGGUCAAGAAAACUGAUGUUGAAGAUGCUCUGAAAGUUUUAAAUUUUUGCUAUUUAUCUUGUAUCUCCUUGUUGAUGGAAUGCAGAACAGAACCAUUUAAAGCUAUCUGGAGGACAGCAUAUGCGUGGGAACCACUAGGAUAUUAUCUCUAUCGUUGAAGCAGAUCAUGUCUAUAUUAUUAGAGGUAAUGUUAUUAGGAUAGUCAAUACAUAAACAAACUUGAAAGAAGAACGAAAAGGAAAGGGGUUUGGAGUUUGGACGAUGUAAAAUUAAGGACUUAAAUUCAAAAGAACCAUGCAACCAUUGAAGCUAAGACAGCCAGUGCAGCAGGAACACCCGGAGCCAGUCCCCCACUUUCCAUUGGUGAUGGUGGAAUUGCCACUUGAUCUUCCCUCAAAGCGGGGAUCCCGGUGGCGAAAACAGCAACAACCGCAAUGUAGACAAUCAAAAUCAUGGCCACCUUGCUACCCUGCAUUUCCGACCGACCCAAAAACAGGUACGCCCUCUUUAAGAAUUACAAAGGGAGAGAGAAGCUAAGCUAUUGAAGUGAGUCCUGUGUUUUGAGCUUGACUUAGAAGAUGAAUUAGAGAUUUGAAAUGCCUUUUUUAUAGGCAAAGAUUAUGGUAAUAAUCAAGUAUUGGACAGCUACGUUUUGUUGGUUUAACCACUAACAAAAUCAUUUUUAAGUUCCUACUUCCUGUUCACAAUCAUCUUAUUUCAUACGUUAUUAAAUUUAUCAAAUUCUACUAUUAGUCUUUGUAAUCUUUGUAAUUUGUAAAAGUUGUGGAUUUAGUCCUUAUACUUUUAUUUGAUAAAUUUUAUUCUUGAGCCAAGUUUGGCUAAAUUCAA